This is a ribosomal RNA of 563 nucleotides. The stretch from base 205 to 358 matches the Rfam family "5.8S ribosomal RNA".
ACAAGGUCUCCGUUGGUGAACCAGCGGAGGGAUCAUUACAGAGUUGCAAAACUCCCCAAACCAUUGUGAACCUUACCUUCAACCGUUGCUUCGGCGGGCGGGCCACAGCGCCCCCCGGGCCCCCCCAGCGGGGCGCCCGCCGGAGGAUACCCAAACUCUUGAUACUUUAUGGCCUCUCUGAGUCUUCUGUACUGAAUAAGUCAAAACUUUCAACAACGGAUCUCUUGGUUCUGGCAUCGAUGAAGAACGCAGCGAAAUGCGAUAAGUAAUGUGAAUUGCAGAAUUCAGUGAAUCAUCGAAUCUUUGAACGCACAUUGCGCCCGCCAGUAUUCUGGCGGGCAUGCCUGUUCGAGCGUCAUUUCAACCAUCGAGCCCCCGGGCUUGUGUUGGGGACCUGCGGCUGCCCGCAGGCCCUGAAAACCAGUGGCGGGCUCGCUGUCACACCGAGCGUAGUAGCAUCAUCUCGCUCAGGGCGUGCUGCGGGUUCCGGCCGUUAAAAGCCUCUAAUACCCAAGGUUGACCUCGGAUCAGGUAGGAAGACCCGCUGAACUUAAGCAUAUCAA